Molecule: long non-coding RNA, 449 nt
Organism: Morus notabilis
Lineage: Eukaryota; Viridiplantae; Streptophyta; Magnoliopsida; Rosales; Moraceae
Exons: 3
Source: RefSeq, a predicted model, not a curated record
UAGCUCCUUUCUUUCUUUCUUUCUUUCUUACUUCCCUUCUCUUCACGCCGUUGGCCCUAAUCAUCCUUGUGUUGCCGCCGUUCAAAUCGUUGCCGCUGUGUUUAGGAUUUUAACCCGUCAUUUCUCAAGUUUCCUCUCUCUCUCUCUCUCUGGACCAUUCCUAACUCCAAAUGGGUCAUUGUUGUUCGGUUCAGUCUCAUCUGGUAGGUGAGGGUUGUCUCAGGUCGACUCAUUCCGUUUUCUGAAAGUUGGAUGUGAGCGGUCUGUUUUACUGUUUUAUUGAUUCUAUGAUGUAUUUUAGACUCUUAGCCAUGAGAUUGUAUGAUCGAGCGCGUGGAUAUUGCAUAGAGUGAUGCUACCCCAGUGGUUUAUGUUUAAGGCGUGUUCUCAUACCAUUUCCAUCUUUGGUUGCAAUCUUGGACAGCAGUUGCCGACUCUCACCAGCUAAU